RNAcentral lists this ribosomal RNA (261 nucleotides) under uncultured bacterium. RNAcentral's name for it is "partial 16S ribosomal RNA". It matches the Rfam family "Bacterial small subunit ribosomal RNA", at positions 524 to 784 of the family's 1533-position model. The record is from RNAcentral.
UACGUAGGUGGCAAGCGUUGUCCGGAAUUAUUGGGCGUAAAGCGCGCGCAGGUGGUUCCUUAAGUCUGAUGUGAAAGCCCACGGCUCAACCGUGGAGGGUCAUUGGAAACUGGGGAACUUGAGUGCAGAAGAGGAAAGUGGAAUUCCAAGUGUAGCGGUGAAAUGCGUAGAGAUUUGGAGGAACACCAGUGGCGAAGGCGACUUUCUGGUCUGUAACUGACACUGAGGCGCGAAAGCGUGGGGAGCAAACAGGAUUAGAAA